CUUUAACACAAUUUUGCUAAAAUGACAUUCAUUCCUGAAAAUAAAUGAGAUGAACUUUGUGGCCUUCGUUGCCCAUCAUGGUGUUUUGUUCAUGUUAAAUCUGUUUUUUUUUGUUAAGUCCUCUGAAGAUGUUAUUUUCUCUCCACCAUUUGCUUGUUAAUUUCUUUCUCUGAAUAUCCACUGCACAUAUAUUCAUGAAACCUGGAUGAAGCGUAGGGCUUCAGCCAUGGAUUAACCCAGUAGUUUAUGGAACAGACAUGUACAAUUUGGAUACUUUUUUUUUUUUUUUUCUCUCUCUUUGCAAGAUUUUGACUGAAUUAAAUGACUUUCUGCAGAGGUA
Molecule: long non-coding RNA, 340 nt
Organism: Sphaeramia orbicularis (orbiculate cardinalfish)
Lineage: Eukaryota; Metazoa; Chordata; Actinopteri; Kurtiformes; Apogonidae
Exons: 2
Source: RefSeq, a predicted model, not a curated record